AUGUGUUCUCGUAUAACCAAAAGUUAUACGAUCAUCGCAAGACACACACAAUCACAAACACAAACAAAUAUGGGUAAGCUACCAUAACACAACCUAUAACAAUAAAAAAAAUGUACAAAAUAAGUAAGCACAACUUAAAAAUAAUACCAUUCAUCUACAAUGUUACUCAUACUCACAUAAUUGUUUAUAAACUAUGAACAUAAUCAACAUCCUCGUUAACUGUAAUGUGACUAUACCCUCCACGUCAUCAUUUCCCAUCACAUCG
Molecule: long non-coding RNA, 265 nt
Filed under: Vigna radiata
Lineage: Eukaryota; Viridiplantae; Streptophyta; Magnoliopsida; Fabales; Fabaceae
Description: long non-coding RNA (VRAD_LNC007570)
Source: RNAcentral